UGGUGCACGAGGCAGGUGACGUAAGUUGGUGUCAAACUCAAAGAUGUUUUUCUAUCUUUUUAGUUUUAUCACGUCGAUUCUUACUUGACUUGUAUUGUAAUCUUUAAGUUAUAAAUGAGACACAUAUUAUCAAGCAGAAAAACACGGACAAAAUAGGGUCGCGUGUUGGAAUUGACCUCAGUGCUAACUGCAAUAUUUUUCUUCCGAAUUCGCAAGAGCGAGAUGUACCUUUAGACUCAAUCGAAGCAUGUCCAAUCCCUCCGUAGCGCCAAUCUAGCAGCCUUGGUAGGCGCCUCUAGGCUGCAUGGCGCGCGAAAGUGGAAGCCCAUGAACGUCACUCCAGAUCCGCCAUGACCGCCUUUCAACGCCGCAAUGGAGUGUGGCCGGAUCUGCGCAGAAACGAAACGGACGCGGCGCCCGCAUACACGCACACAUGCUCAUAGUACGCCGUUGCAGGUACGCGCGAUGAUGGCGCCAUGAUAUCGCUUUCUUCAGCCCGGCGGCCCCUAGCCCUACGUGGGUGACAAAAGAGGAAAAAUUGGCUACGCGCGCACCCGGCCGGUGGAGGGGGGCGGCCCUCGGUAGCGAUCGAUCGAAUCCA
Molecule: long non-coding RNA, 601 nt
Filed under: Hordeum vulgare
Lineage: Eukaryota; Viridiplantae; Streptophyta; Magnoliopsida; Poales; Poaceae
Description: long non-coding RNA (HVUL_LNC016143)
Source: RNAcentral